GCUGUAGCUCAGCGGUACAGCACUUGCCUCACAUGUGUGAGGCACUGGGUUCAAUUCUCAGCAGC
Molecule: transfer RNA, 65 nt
Filed under: Ictidomys tridecemlineatus (thirteen-lined ground squirrel)
Lineage: Eukaryota; Metazoa; Chordata; Mammalia; Rodentia; Sciuridae
Description: Spermophilus tridecemlineatus (thirteen-lined ground squirrel) tRNA
Rfam family: tRNA
About the family: Transfer RNA (tRNA) molecules are approximately 80 nucleotides in length. Their secondary structure includes four short double-helical elements and three loops (D, anti-codon, and T loops).
Source: Rfam by way of RNAcentral